UGGUGUAUGCACGUUUUUUUUGUUGGUGAACGUAUUUUUUGUUACUCCCGUACUUUUGACCCGCGUCGUUGGGUUGUUUCCUUCUCCGUCUAAAGCAGCAGCAUCGAAUUGUCCUCCAUUGUUUUUCUUCCUCUCUUCUCUUCUCAGUUACGCAUAACCAAAUUCUCUCAUUACUGAAAUCUAAAUCUAAAGACUACAAUCCAACGAAAAAAACAGAAGCAAGCAGUGAAUUGAAAUGGAGAGGUGAGGAAUUGCGAACCCUAAAUCCCCAAUUUUUACUUACCAAGACAAUAUGAACAUUCAAAAUUAAUAAACUGAAGUAAAACAUGAUGAUGAUGCUUCACUCUCAAACUUUCUUGCUUCUCUUAUGAAUUACGCCCCUACUAUUGCAGGGACGCAUAGUACUGGGUAUUUAGUCAUUUGGUUUUUGUUGUUGCCGUCGGAGAUUCUAAGGUUGCAUUAUUUUUAAUAUACAUGAAUCUUUUGGCGUUGAUGAGUCCCCACAUGGAGCUGAAAGAGCAGUAAUUGAACUUGCAAGUGUGGUUGAUGGUCCAGUAGAAGGUGUAGGCGCUCCAGCCACAUGGGGAUGGUGGGCUGCAACUAGCAUUGGUGACAACUCCUUUUGGGAUAACUAUGCUGGUAAAUAGAGUGUGCACGUACUUACGUGGCUUGAAGAAAUAUAGAGAUGCAAAGAGGAGUCCAGAAUUUAUGAUAGGUGGAAGUUGCAAAGAUAAAUUUGAAUUUGUGUGGGAUUAAUGAGCAAGUGAAUCAAGAGUAGGGUUCUGCAGCUUUUACUUGGACAACAACUUCAACAAAAUGAAGGGACUGUUUGUAAACGGUGAAUAGAGCCAGGAAGAUUUGAGUUCUCAAUGCAAGGGACUAUUAGGCUUAGAUGCUAAACCUGCAAAGAAUAGGUCUGUAAGAAAUAGGUUGUGCACAUGGUGUGGGGUGUUCAGGUUAGUGGAUGUAGAAAACACAACUCAUUCAACCAGUAGUUAUGACCGUGCUUUAUCUUACUGUUUUAUUUCACUGUACGACAAUAACACAUUUUGUUUCAGCGAAUCAUGAUUUUCCAAC
Molecule: long non-coding RNA, 1077 nt
Organism: Papaver somniferum (opium poppy)
Lineage: Eukaryota; Viridiplantae; Streptophyta; Magnoliopsida; Ranunculales; Papaveraceae
Exons: 2
Source: RefSeq, a predicted model, not a curated record